This 460-nucleotide ribosomal RNA is filed under the name uncultured bacterium. RNAcentral's name for it is "partial 16S ribosomal RNA". It matches the Rfam family "Bacterial small subunit ribosomal RNA", at positions 338 to 795 of the family's 1533-position model. The record is from RNAcentral.
CCUACGGGAGGCAGCAGUGAGGAAUAUUGGUCAAUGGGCGCGAGCCUGAACCAGCCAAGUCGCGUGAGGGAGGACGGCCCUACGGGUUGUAAACCUCUUUUGCCGGGGAGCAACGGGCGUCACGUGUGGCGCCACUGAGAGUACCCGGAGAAAAAGCAUCGGCUAACUCCGUGCCAGCAGCCGCGGUAAUACGGAGGAUGCGAGCGUUAUACGGAUUUAUUGGGUUUAAAGGGUGCGUAGGCGGAUCGGUAAGUCAGUGGUCAAAUUGAGGGGCUCAACCCCUUCCCGCCAUUGAAACUGGCGUUCUUGAGUGGAAGAGAAGUAUGCGGAAUGCGGGGUGUAGCGGUGAAAUGCAUAGAUAGCACGCAGAACCCAGAUUGCGAAGGCAGCAUGCCGGCUUCCGACUGACGCUGAAGCACGAAAGCGUGGGGAUCGAACAGGAUUAGAUACCCGAGUAGUC